RNAcentral lists this microRNA precursor (64 nucleotides) under Myotis lucifugus (little brown bat). Its description in RNAcentral is "mir-9242 microRNA precursor family". It matches the Rfam family "mir-9242 microRNA precursor family". The record is from Rfam by way of RNAcentral. Lineage: Eukaryota; Metazoa; Chordata; Mammalia; Chiroptera; Vespertilionidae.
GGCCUUCCUCUGUGGUGCAAUCGAUCUGGGGGCCCCGUGAUCGAUCGCCCUGCAGAGGGAGGCU